Molecule: ribosomal RNA, 232 nt
Filed under: uncultured soil bacterium
Lineage: Bacteria
Description: partial 16S ribosomal RNA
Rfam family: Bacterial small subunit ribosomal RNA
Source: RNAcentral
AGAACGAACGCUGGCGGCAUGCCUAAUACAUGCAAGUCGAACGAACUCUUCGGAGUUAGUGGCGCACGGGUGCGUAACGCGUGGGAAUCUGCCCCUUGGUUCGGAAUAACAGUUGGAAACGACUGCUAAUACCGGAUGAUGACGAAAGUCCAAAGAUUUAUCGCCAAGGGAUGAGCCCGCGUAGGAUUAGCUAGUUGGUGAGGUAAAGGCUCACCAAGGCAACGAUCCUUAG